AUUGAACGCUGGCGGCAGGCCUAACACAUGCAAGUCGAGCGAGCGGCGGACGGGUGAGUAAUGUCUGGGGAUCUGCCCGAUAGAGGGGGAUAACUACUGGAAACGGUAGCUAAUACCGCAUACUAUCGGAUGUGCCCAUAUGGGAUUAGCUAGUAGGUGGGGUAACGGCUCACCUAGGCGACGAUCCCUAGCUGGUCUGAGAGGAUGACCACCAAAAUGGGAACUGGAACACGGCCCAGCUUCCAACGGAGGGAAGCAGAGGGGAAUAUUGGAAAAGGGGCGAAAGCCUGAGGCGGAAAGGCCGCGGGGAUGAAGAAGGUCUUCGGGUGGAAAGGUACGUUCAGCGAGGAGGCGGUACUCAAAGAAAAAGCAACGGCUAACUACGUGCCAGCAGCCGCGGUAAUAC
This 406-nucleotide ribosomal RNA is filed under the name uncultured bacterium. RNAcentral describes it as "partial 16S ribosomal RNA". It matches the Rfam family "Bacterial small subunit ribosomal RNA", at positions 29 to 526 of the family's 1533-position model. The record is from RNAcentral.